This 356-nucleotide ribosomal RNA is filed under the name uncultured Gammaproteobacteria bacterium. RNAcentral's name for it is "bacterial SSU rRNA". It matches the Rfam family "Bacterial small subunit ribosomal RNA", at positions 1113 to 1472 of the family's 1533-position model. Lineage: Bacteria; Pseudomonadati; Pseudomonadota; Gammaproteobacteria. The record is from RNAcentral.
AUUUGCGAUCAUUUAGUUGGGCACUCUAAGGAGACUGUUGGUGACAAACCGAAUGAAGGUGGGGACGACGUCGAGUCAUCAUGGCCCUUACAAGUAUGGCUACACACGUGCUACAAUGGGACGUACAGAGGGUCGCAAACCCUGCAGGGGAAUCUAAUAUCAUAAAACGUAUUAUAAUCCGGAUUGCAAUAUGAACCUCCACUGCCUGAAGUCCGAAUCUCUGGUCAUCCCAAAUCAGAACGUGUGGGUGAAUACUUUCCCGGGCCUUGAACACACGGCCUGUCACACCAUGUGAGUGGGUUGCAAAAGAAGUGGGUAGUCUAACUUCCGAGGACGCUGACCACUUUGUGAUUCAU